This is a long non-coding RNA of Sorex araneus (European shrew), 279 nucleotides long. RefSeq lists it as uncharacterized. The transcript has 3 exons. The record is from RefSeq and is a predicted model, not a curated record. Lineage: Eukaryota; Metazoa; Chordata; Mammalia; Eulipotyphla; Soricidae.
CAGUACAUAUGGUCCGCUGAGUCCUGCCAGAAGUAGUGAUCACUUGGCAGAGCCAAUUGCAAGUCCAGAGCACCACCAGAAAAUGUUGAAAAGUGGACUCAUCAUUCAGUAUGAGAGAGGUGCCAGAUGAAUGAAAGAACCAGUUAAGGAGGAGAAAAGUGUUUUGUUUGUUAGGGGGUCACCUCUGGUGAUGUUCGGGGUUACUCCUGGCUACUUAAGAAUGACUCUUGGUGGUGCUCAGGGGACCAAGUGGAAAGCAGGGGAUCGUACCCAUGUUGG